GAUGAACGCUGGCGGCGUGCCUAAUACAUGCAAGUCGAGCGAACGGACGAGAAGCUUGCUUCUCUGAUGUUAGCGGCGGACGGGUGAGUAACACGUGGAUAACCUACCUAUAAGACUGGGAUAACUUCGGGAAACCGGAGCUAAUACCGGAUGAUAUUUUGAACCGCAUGGUUCAAAAGUGAAAGACGGUCUUGCUGUCACUUAUAGAUGGAUCCGCGCUGCAUUAGCUAGUUGGUAAGGUAACGGCUUACCAAGGCAACGAUGCAUGGCCGACCUGAGAGGGUGAUCGGCCACACUGGAACUGAGACACGGUCCAGACUCCUACGGGAGGCAGCAGUAGGGAAUCUUCCGCAAUGGGCGAAAGCCUGACGGAGCAACGCCGCGUGAGUGAUGUAGGUCUUCGGAUCGUAAAACUCUGUUAUUAGGGAAGAACAUAUGUGUAAGUAACUGUGCACAUCUUGACGGUACCUAAUCAGAAAGCCACGGCUAACUACGUG
This 497-nucleotide ribosomal RNA is filed under the name uncultured bacterium. RNAcentral's name for it is "partial 16S ribosomal RNA". It matches the Rfam family "Bacterial small subunit ribosomal RNA", at positions 28 to 507 of the family's 1533-position model. The record is from RNAcentral.